GUUGGUGUGUCUUGUCAUCAUAUAGCGAUUGAAAUGAGUGCUUCACUUCGGAGGAACCUUAAUGCGCAUGCAGUUAUUGCGAGAAUAUAAAGAUUCAGACGUUGGCUAAAAGGAAAGGCGUGAAACGGACGCGCCCCUUUAGUAGUUGCAAAAAGAAUCUUCUUGCUGGAUUAAAUUACAAAAGCCGAAAGAGACAGCAGGAAAAGUGCGGCUGCCGUGCAAAUCCAUAUAUUGUCAGAAGUCCAGAUUACGGCAAUGUUUGAGUCUGACAGAAGGUGAAAGACAGUGGGUUUUCGAAAAAUUUUGGAAAAUGGAAUCGUGGUCUGGAAAACGUUUCUAUGUCAGGGUUUUAUUAUCGAAGGUUCCCACCAAGCAAGCGAAAAUUGCUGAAAAUAUGUCGAGAAGUAAGUCAUCUUUUGAAUACCGUUUAUGAUUACAAAAAUGAAUAUGCAUUCUGGUGUGCGAAAAACUGUUUUCGGCUACAAUUGGCAUUAGCCAACGAACUGUGUAGUCGUGGCUGUAAAGUCUGGCACCAUUCAUAAAGUUUUUGGACCCGCAUCG
Styela clava is the source of this 561-nucleotide long non-coding RNA. RefSeq lists it as uncharacterized. NCBI's taxonomy places the organism in Eukaryota, Metazoa, Chordata, Ascidiacea, Stolidobranchia, Styelidae. The record is from RefSeq and is a predicted model, not a curated record.